This 324-nucleotide unclassified non-coding RNA is filed under the name Hevea brasiliensis (rubber tree). Lineage: Eukaryota; Viridiplantae; Streptophyta; Magnoliopsida; Malpighiales; Euphorbiaceae. The record is from RNAcentral.
GUCAAGGAAGUUUCGGGCCGAAGGAACCAUGGUUCGACCAUUUGCGGCCAAGGGGAAGAAGAGAAAGAAGGCGGAGAAGUACGACAGGGACGAAGAUGGCGGAGAAUCCACCGCUCCGGCCAAGAGGCCUAUGGUGGAUAACGAACCUGAUGAAGAACCACCCAAGGAAGAUUUCCAAGAGCUUGAAGGUAUUCCUAUUGUUCCAAAAGACCCCAACAGUGCUAACAAUGCUGGUGUCAUCUUCGUCCUCGAAAGAGCUUCUCUCGAGGUUGCCAAAGUUGGGAAGAAUUACCAGCUGUUGAAUUCCGAUGACCACUCCAAUUU